GAGUUUGAUCGUGGCUCAGGAUGAACGCUGGCGGCGUGCCUAAUACAUGCAAGUCGAGCGAACAGACGGGGAGCUUGCUCCCCUGACGUUAGCGGCGGACGGGUGAGUAACACGUGGGUAACCUACCUAUAAGACUGGAAUAACUCCGGGAAACCGGGGCUAAUGCCGGAUAACAUGUUGGACCGCAUGGUCCUACAGGUGAAAGACGGUCUUGCUGUCACUUAUAGGUGGACCCGCGCCGUAUUAGCUAGUUGGUAAGGUAACGGCUUACCAAGGCAACGAUACGUAGCCGACCUGAGAGGGUGAUCGGCCACACUGGAACUGAGACACGGUCCAGACUCCUACGGGAGGCAGCAGUAGGGAAUCUUCCGCAAUGGGCGAAAGCCUGACGGAGCAACGCCGCGUGAGUGAUGAAGGCC
Molecule: ribosomal RNA, 419 nt
Filed under: uncultured microorganism
Description: bacterial SSU rRNA
Rfam family: Bacterial small subunit ribosomal RNA
Source: RNAcentral